Molecule: ribosomal RNA, 325 nt
Filed under: uncultured eukaryote
Lineage: Eukaryota
Description: partial 18S ribosomal RNA
Rfam family: Eukaryotic small subunit ribosomal RNA
Source: RNAcentral
CCCUUAGAUGUUCUGGGCCGCACGCGCGCUACACUGAUGCAUUCAACGAGCCUAUCCUUGACCGACAGGUCCGGGUAAUCUUUGAAUCUGCAUCGUGACGGGGAUAGAAUAUUGCAAUUAUUAAUCUUCAACGAGGAAUGCCUAGUAGGCGCAAGUCAUCAGCUUGCGUCGAUUACGUCCCUGCCCUUUGUACACACCGCCCGUCGCUCCUACCGAUUGGGUGUGCUGGUGAAAUGUUCGGAUCGGCCGUUUGUCGCGGUUUCCGCGUCAUGUGGCUGAGAAGUUCAUUAAACCCUCCCACCUAGAGGAAGGAGAAGUCGUAACA